CAUCUGACGAUGUGAUCAAGAUCAUCUACUAAACCAAAAAUGCAGCCAUAGUUAACAAUAACCAAACUCUUUUGAAUUGUUUAUUUGUACGAACAUUGAAAAGCAAAACGAUCAUGGAUCAUGGUGAUUUUUGGAAUCAAGAUUUAGGACGUUUUUUGUUUGCUUCUCUCUUUGAUCUUCUCUCCCUUGAACUUAGAGAAGUCUUGAACCCAACUUCGUUCUCCGAGUCGUACACAUCUUUAAACGAUUUCUG
This is a long non-coding RNA of Arabidopsis thaliana (thale cress), 253 nucleotides long. RefSeq annotates it as other RNA. The transcript has a single exon. The record is from RefSeq. NCBI's taxonomy places the organism in Eukaryota, Viridiplantae, Streptophyta, Magnoliopsida, Brassicales, Brassicaceae.